UGAGAGCCUCAGGAAGCUUUUACUCAUGGU
RNAcentral lists this non-coding RNA (30 nucleotides) under Homo sapiens (human). The record is from RNAcentral. Lineage: Eukaryota; Metazoa; Chordata; Mammalia; Primates; Hominidae.